This 85-nucleotide transfer RNA is filed under the name Planctomycetales bacterium. RNAcentral's name for it is "tRNA-Leu". It matches the Rfam family "tRNA". Rfam says of the family: Transfer RNA (tRNA) molecules are approximately 80 nucleotides in length. Their secondary structure includes four short double-helical elements and three loops (D, anti-codon, and T loops). The record is from RNAcentral. Lineage: Bacteria; Pseudomonadati; Planctomycetota; Planctomycetia; Planctomycetales.
UGCCGGACUGGCGGAAUGGCAGACGCGAAGGAUUCAAAAUCCUUUUCCCGCAAGGGAGUCCCGGUUCAAGUCCGGGGUUCGGUAA